This 608-nucleotide ribosomal RNA is filed under the name uncultured Actinomycetes bacterium. RNAcentral's name for it is "bacterial SSU rRNA". It matches the Rfam family "Bacterial small subunit ribosomal RNA", at positions 73 to 677 of the family's 1533-position model. The record is from RNAcentral. Lineage: Bacteria; Bacillati; Actinomycetota; Actinomycetes.
GGCGUAGCAAUACGUGCUGACGAGCGGCGAACGGGUGCGUAAUACAUGGGAAUCUGCCCUUUGGUGGGGAAUAACCCGGCGAAAGCCGGGCUAAUGCCGCAUGAGAUCUUCGGAUGAAAGCGGGGGAUCGUAAGACCUNGCGCCGAUGGAUGAGCCCAUGUCGGAUUAGCUAGUUGGUGAGGUAACGGCUCACCAAGGCGACGAUCCGUAGCUGGUCUGAGAGGACGAUCAGCCACACUGGGACUGAGACACGGCCCAGACUCCUACGGGAGGCAGCAGUGGGGAAUCUUGCGCAAUGGGCGAAAGCCUGACGCAGCGACGCCGCGUGAGGGAAGAAGGCCUUCGGGUUGUAAACCUCUUUCAGGAGGGACGAAGCUACUCGGGUUAAUGGCCCAGAGGGUGACGGUACCUCCAGAAGAAGCCCCGGCUAACUACGUGCCAGCAGCCGCGGUAAUACGUAGGGGGCAAGCGUUGUCCGGAUUUAUUGGGCGUAAAGCGCGNGUAGGCGNCCAGAUAAGUCCGCUGUGAAAACUNGAAGCUCAACUUCGAGCUGUCGGUGGAAACUAUUUGGCUAGAGUCCGGAAGAGGAGAGUGGAAUUCCUGCUGAG